UACAGAGGUCUCAACCGUUGUUCGGAUUCAUUGGGCGUAAAGGGCGCGCAGGCGGCUAUGUAAGUCCGGCGUGAAAUCCCAUGGCUUAACUGUGGAACUGCGUCGGAUACUGCAUUGGCUUGAGGGCGGUAGAGGCUUCUGGAACUAGCGGUGUAGCGGUGAAAUGCGUAGAUAUCGAGAGGAACACCUGCGGCGAAGGCGGGUUGCUGGGCUGACACUGACGCUGAAGUGCGAAAGCUAGGGGAGCGAACGGG
RNAcentral lists this ribosomal RNA (254 nucleotides) under uncultured bacterium. RNAcentral describes it as "partial 16S ribosomal RNA". It matches the Rfam family "Bacterial small subunit ribosomal RNA", at positions 524 to 776 of the family's 1533-position model. The record is from RNAcentral.